GAUGAACGCUGGCGGCGUGCCUAACACAUGCAAGUCGAACGGAUGCCUUCGGGCAUUAGUGGCGCACGGGUGAGUAACACGUGGUUGACCUACCCCAAAGUAAGGGAUAACGUUCCGAAAGGAAUGCUAAUACCUUAUAAGCUCCCGGAUUUUAGAAAACUGGGAGAAAAGUUCCGGCGCUUUGGGAGGGGACUGCGAAC
RNAcentral lists this ribosomal RNA (200 nucleotides) under uncultured bacterium. Its description in RNAcentral is "partial 16S ribosomal RNA". It matches the Rfam family "Bacterial small subunit ribosomal RNA", at positions 28 to 238 of the family's 1533-position model. The record is from RNAcentral.